Molecule: transfer RNA, 63 nt
Filed under: Sciobius sp. SCI01
Lineage: Eukaryota; Metazoa; Arthropoda; Insecta; Coleoptera; Curculionidae
Description: tRNA-His
Source: RNAcentral
ACCUAAAUAGUUUAUAUAAAAUUUUAAUUUGUGGGAUUAAAGAAAUGAGUUUCAUUUUAGGUA